Molecule: ribosomal RNA, 420 nt
Filed under: bacterium
Lineage: Bacteria
Description: partial 16S ribosomal RNA
Rfam family: Bacterial small subunit ribosomal RNA
Source: RNAcentral
UGGGGGAUAUUGCACAAUGGGCGAAAGCCUGAUGCAGCGACGCCGCGUGGGGGAUGAAGGCUUUCGGGUUGUAAACCUCUUUCGCUAUCGAACAAGGCCCGCUUAGGGUGGGUUGAGGGUAGGUGGAGAAGAAGCGCCGGCUAACUACGUGCCAGCAGCCGCGGUAAUACGUAGGGCGCGAGCGUUUUCCGGAAUUAUUGGGCGUAAAGGGCUUGUAGGCGGCUUGUUGCGCCUGCUGUGAAAACGCGGGGCUUAACUUCGCGCGUGCAGUGGGUACGGGCAGGCUUGAGUGUGGUAGGGGUGACUGGAAUUCCAGGUGUAGCGGUGGAAUGCGCAGAUAUCUGGAGGAACACCGAUGGCGAAGGCAGGGCACUGGGCCAUUACUGACGCUGAGGAGCGAAAGCAUGGGUAGCGAACAGG